UCAGCAGUCAAGAAUAUUAGUCAAUGCUCGAAAGAGUGAACUAGCUAACUGAAAUCAAUUAUAAUAAUUGAUAACAUAAGGGAAAAAGAAUGAUAUUACCUUAUUAUUAGUGUCGUCCAAAUCUGGUGCCAGAAGACUCGGUAAGGCCAGAGACACGAACGUUAAUCGUCUUAAUCAGGCGUAAAGGGUUUGUAGGCGGCUUUAAAAUUUAUUUAUAUUAAUAUUAUAAAAUAAAAAAUAAAAGCUAGAAUCAAAAAGAGGAUAUAUUAAAGAAUGCUUAGAGUAGGUCUGAUAUCCUUAGAUACUAAGUAGAAUAUUAAAGGCGAAAGCUUUUUUCCAUUAAUGAUUGACGCUCAGAAACGAAGGUGAGGAUAGGAAAUAGGAUUAGAUACCCAAAAUACCCCUCUCUGUCAACGAUGAAUGGUAAUUAUUAGUAAAAAUUUUAUUAAUGAUAAUGUUAACACGAUAACCAUUCCGCCUUGUGAGUACAACUGCAAAGUUGAAAACAAAAAAAUUAGUCGGUUUCGGAGCAAACGAAGUGAAGCAUGUUAUUUAAUUCAAUAAUCCGCAAA
Molecule: ribosomal RNA, 572 nt
Filed under: Russula sp.
Lineage: Eukaryota; Fungi; Basidiomycota; Agaricomycetes; Russulales; Russulaceae
Description: partial small subunit ribosomal RNA
Rfam family: Bacterial small subunit ribosomal RNA
Source: RNAcentral